This 252-nucleotide ribosomal RNA is filed under the name uncultured bacterium. RNAcentral's name for it is "partial 16S ribosomal RNA". It matches the Rfam family "Bacterial small subunit ribosomal RNA", at positions 524 to 776 of the family's 1533-position model. The record is from RNAcentral.
UACGUAGGGUGCGAGCGUUAAUCGGAAUUACUGGGCGUAAAGCGUGCGCAGGCGGCUUUGCAAGACAGAUGUGAAAUCCCCGGGCUCAACCUGGGAACUGCAUUUGUGACUGCAAGGCUAGAGUACGGCAGAGGGGGAUGGAAUUCCGCGUGUAGCAGUGAAAUGCGUAGAUAUGCGGAGGAACACCAAUGGCGAAGGCAAUCCCCUGGCCUGUACUGACGCUCAUGCACGAAAGCGUGGGGAGCAAACAGG